AUUGAACGCUGGCGGCAGGCCUAACACAUGCAAGUCGAGCGGAUGAAGGGAGCUUGCUCCUGGAUUCAGCGGCGGACGGGUGAGUAAUGCCUAGGAAUCUGCCUGGUAGUGGGGGAUAACGUCCGGAAACGGGCGCUAAUACCGCAUACGUCCUGAGGGAGAAAGUGGGGGAUCUUCGGACCUCACGCUAUCAGAUGAGCCUAGGUCGGAUUAGCUAGUUGGUGGGGUAAAGGCCUACCAAGGCGACGAUCCGUAACUGGUCUGAGAGGAUGAUCAGUCAAACCGGAACUGAGACACGGUCCAGAACCCUACGGGAGGCAGCAGUGGGGAAUAUUUGGAAAUUGGCGAAAGCCCGAUUCAGGCCAGCCGGGGGUUUGAAGAAGGUCCUUCGAUUUGUAAACCCCUUUAGGUGGGAAGAAGGGAAGUAAGUUUAUACCUUGCCGUUUUGACGGUACCAAAAGAAUAAGCACCGGCUAACUUCGUG
Molecule: ribosomal RNA, 484 nt
Filed under: uncultured bacterium
Lineage: Bacteria
Description: partial 16S ribosomal RNA
Rfam family: Bacterial small subunit ribosomal RNA
Source: RNAcentral